UCCGAAUUGAUGUUUCUUUUAUGCGUGAAGGUUGGAGGAAAGAAGAGAAGAAAUAAUUAUCAAGAAGAUCAAGGUAACUUUUCGCGGAGGGGUGCCAUUCCGAAUAUUGGUGUGCUGCAGACUCGGUAAAUGACUUCAACAUGGCAUGAAAUACAUGGUGCCGGUGGGUGCAGUGAUGGCCAAGGCGAUUCCAGUAAGGAAGGAGGACAUGCUGAGGAAGAAUCGGCAGCAGGUACAACUAGAGUCGCCAUGGAGAAGGAGUACUUAACGGGAGCGAGCUAGGUGGAGGCGUGAAUUGAGCGAAGGCUGGCGGCGCGGAAGCGAGCGUGGGUCACGGGCGCAGCUAAGCGGUCACCAGCGUCUGAAUAAAUUCCACCUGCAACACGAAUAAAUGCACAAUCAGAGAGAAAUGUAGAGAAAAAUAGAGGGCAACAAGUGCCUCGCAACUGGCUGAAAAAUUGCACUGAAUGGAGAGAGCGUUGCGUCGACCAGGGACCUGAUCGGGUGUAUGGCACCAUGUCAUGGAGGGGCACUGCGGCCUGUGGCCCAAGGCGCCACAAUUUUUCUCGAUGCCCACAUACCUCCCAGGUUGUGGUCGCAUAUUCAAAUUUGAUGUCGUUUUAGCGCUUUGCUUCGAAUAUCAGCACAGGGACCGACAUUCGGGGUUUCGGGGAUUCGGAGAGCCGAUACUUUAGCCAGGACGGCAGUGAGUGCAUGAUGGUGGCCUUAGCUGAUGGACGACGGUGACCGCCGAGCGAUCGGCAGCAGGUACGAGCUCGUGUUGUCAUUGGUCAGUCAAUCUACAUGCUCUUUUUUAGCUUAACUGAUAUGCUAUUAUGGGACGUUAGGUCAGUUUAGUCAAAUCUGCUCCCAUAUGCUAACCUCAAUCAAAUGCUCCUCCCUGCACUUGUGCUGCAGUCGCGCACUCUGCAUCUCUUCCUCAUCAACCUAUUUACCUCUUUCAGCUUUUAGCUCUGCAAAGUAGACGUGCACUUAAAAAUUGGCAGUACUACCCACCGUCUCCUCUCUUUAUUCCUUAAAUACUUUUUUGGGUUUAAAACUUCUUCUAUCCAAUGAUGGUAAAACUUUGAAAACCCAUAGAUUAAAGUGAUAAGUGAAUUAACUUGUGAUGAUAAAAAUAAAGAUAUUACUAGCCAUCUGUAUGUUAAUUAUUGUUUCAAACAUAUGAAAGUCUAUUUAAAAUUCCAAGCAGGUAGUUCUAGAUACUUUCUUAAGAAAACUAUGAUCGUUUGAUUCAUGGAUAGCUUAGUUAGCAGUAUGAUGUAAGCAGUGUGCUUCUUUGCUUCAGCUUUAGAAAUUAGCUCUGAAUAAUUGCGUAUAUGUGUGAUUUUAAUGUAUUGCUAUUCUUUUUUCUGGUACCUGCCUGUAGUUUCGGUUAUUUGAUUUACUAUCAUUGUUUGGACAACUUGUCAUUUCCCCAUGCUUUGCUCCUCAACCUUCCAUUUUUUUAUGUUCAGAGCAAAUAAAUGAUUAUUACCUUCAAAAUGAUGUUUGCCCCACUUAGACCACAUUAUUUAUAAGAAUUCAAAAUAUUUACAAGAAU
Lolium perenne is the source of this 1564-nucleotide non-coding RNA. The record is from RefSeq and is a predicted model, not a curated record. Lineage: Eukaryota; Viridiplantae; Streptophyta; Magnoliopsida; Poales; Poaceae.